Bos indicus x Bos taurus (hybrid cattle) is the source of this 1345-nucleotide long non-coding RNA. The record is from Ensembl. NCBI's taxonomy places the organism in Eukaryota, Metazoa, Chordata, Mammalia, Artiodactyla, Bovidae.
UUCCAGCCCUUCCUGAAUGAGAAUGCAUUUGGGCUCUCUGCCCAGUUCUGAUCUGUAAGCUGCCUCCUCAGUUCGUCAACUCCAUGUAGCCCGGAUCCUACCCCACCUUCCAGGCCUUCUACUCACCCCUGGGGGAAAAUGAGAGAAACUGCUGAAGGGGACAAAAAUUACUAUCUUCAUUUCACGGAUGGAAACUUCCCUGGUGGCUCAGAUGGUAAAGCAUCUGUCUACAAUGCAGGAGACCCCGGUUCAAUCCCUGGGUCAGGAAGAUCUCCUGGAGAAGGAAAUGGCAACCCGUUCCAGUAUUCUUGCCUGGAAAAUCCGAUGGACGGAGGAGCCUGGUAGGCUAUAGUCCAUGGGGUUGCAAAGAGUCGGACAUGACUGAGCGACUUUGCUUUAAGAGAGGUUAAAUGACUUCUUGAAAGCCCCACUCUUUCUACGUGGCAGAGCCCGGAUUAGAACCUGGGUGUUCUAACUUUAAAUUCAGAGAUCUUGCAGCCCUACAGUGGUGGUUUUUAAACCGUGUGCACAACAAAACAUCCUGGGAGAGGAAGGGGACUCUGGCAUCUCCAACCCCCACUCAGAUGGGAGCAACUCCAAUUUCAUUUGCUUUCUCUGUUGGUGUUCCAGUCAAGAUUUUGUGUAUUUAAAAAGGGGGUUUGGUUUAGGUUGGAAAUUCACUGAGCUCUGCCAUGAUCCUUCCAGUGGGGGCUCAGCUGCAAGACAAGGAGCCCAUGUAGAAGACAUACAAGAAAGGGAGGGAUGAAGAUAGCAGCUCAAGAGGCAGACUCCCACAUGUGCAUGCCCAGCACCUCAAGACUUCCCUUAGGGAGGGAGACAAACAGCUGAAGCCUGUCGAUCCGGGGAAGUAUUUCCUGGCUCCACAUCAUGGGGUGCUGCCUGGUCAGCUUUGUGGGAUCUUGUCCAGACAAAUCUAAUGCCCUCAGCAGACUCUGAGUCACAAACCAUCCAAGCUCAAUCAGCUAUUGCAGCCUCAUGCCUUGUAAGCAUGUUUGCAGCCUCCUCCAAUGCCCAGCCUCCAGUGAAGCACCUGCUUAUCCUGAGGGUUGGCUUAUGGCUGAGGCAUCACCUGUUCAUGGGGUGAGCCCACUCAGGGUGUCACCCCUACACCUGAGCCCUGAGGCUUCCCAGCCAUUUGUCCCUUUUCUCUGAGCUCUUCUUCGAUAAGACUGUCUGCUCUCUCACUGUGCUUCUGAUCUUUCUAGGAAUCUGCAUUACAACCUUCUGGUUUAAGCUUCUCUAAAUAGGAGCUGUUUAGAAACAGCCUGCUUCUCUCCCCAUUGUCCCAGCUGGCAAGUAUUUUGGCUUACCAAGGGCCUCUUGG